AGAGUUUGAUUCUGGCUCAGGAUGAACGCUAGCUACAGGCUUAACACAUGCAAGUCGAGGGGUAGCAGGGUAGCAAUACCGCUGACGACCGGCGCACGGUGAGUAACACGUAUCCAACCUUCCCAUAACUCAGGGAUAGCCUUUCGAAAGAAAGAUUAAUACCUGAUAGUACUUUUUCAAGGCAUCUUGAGAAAGUUAAAGAUUUAUUGGUUAUGGAUGGGGAUGCGUUCCAUUAGAUAGUUGGUGAGGUAACGGCUCACCAAGUCUUCGAUGGAUAGGGGUUCUGAGAGGAAGGUCCCCCACAUUGGUACUGAGACACGGACCAAACUCCUACGGGAGGCAGCAGUGAGGAAUAUUGGUCAAUGGGCGAGAGCCUGAACCAGCCAAGUAGCGUGAAGGAAUGAAGGUCCUAUGGAUUGUAAACUUCUUUUAUAGUAGAAUAAAGUGAUCCACGUGUGGAUUUUUGUAUGUAUACUAUGAAUAAGGAUCGGCUAACUCCGUGCCAGCCGCCGC
This 513-nucleotide ribosomal RNA is filed under the name uncultured bacterium. Its description in RNAcentral is "bacterial SSU rRNA". It matches the Rfam family "Bacterial small subunit ribosomal RNA", at positions 8 to 518 of the family's 1533-position model. The record is from RNAcentral.